AGCUCUUUAAAUUUAAGAUAAUGGAAGCAUUAAACAAAGAAAGAUAUUAGGUUGAUCUAGGCAAUAAACACACAAGCUCGGAUUAUUUAACCUAGGUUAUGUUCUCCAAUUGAAAUCAUUAAUUCCAACCUGCUACUAAUGAUUAAAAUAUCAAGACAAUUACGGAUCAAGAAUUUUAAUCUAGCAAUAAUAUUUAUUCAAGUCCUAUCUAAUUGGCCACUCAAAUAAAACAAGAAUAAACCAUGAACAUUAAUUAUAGAAGAACAUAAACAAUCUCAAUUAAAUAAAUUAAAUGAUAGAAUUUAAAUUUAAUUGCAUAGCAUGUUUAGGGUUUUGAAUUCACCCUCAACCAAAUAAAAAUUUAGCCUAACAUAAUUAAAUUGGGAAUAAGAGAAUUGACAAAACCAAUCAUGGAGAUUAAUUCAAGCGGCUGCCUUUUUCUUCAAUUUAAUUCCAGCUGCUGAUUUUUCUCUUGCUACCCGAAUUCUUCUUCUUGCUGAAUUGGAUCAGUUUUGCUCCAAACCUGCAACUGCUGCUCUUCUCUUCUCCCGAUUCUCCUCUUUUGCUCUCUGGCAGCUCUCCUUUUAUAAUGCUCUAAAUCCUCUCACGAAAAGGAUUAAAAACAAAAGUAAAGCCGCCACUUUCCAAAACCAAAGUUUGGCUUUUAUAUUUAGUCUUCAAAUGGGCCCCACCGACUUUUCCAACUCUUAAGCCAAAGGCCAAGCCUUUUAAUUUGCUUUGGCUUCCCUCACGUGCACUCUUUAAUUUGGCUAAUAUUUCUCAUGUCCUUUAGCUAAUAAUUCAGCCAAUCAAUUUAAUUGUUUCUUCUUCUCCUUUCGACUUUAUCACCACGGCAGCGAGCAUUAACAAUCUUCAACUC
Molecule: long non-coding RNA, 880 nt
Filed under: Citrus sinensis (sweet orange)
Lineage: Eukaryota; Viridiplantae; Streptophyta; Magnoliopsida; Sapindales; Rutaceae
Description: long non-coding RNA (CSIN_LNC003112)
Source: RNAcentral